Molecule: long non-coding RNA, 5360 nt
Filed under: Sus scrofa (pig)
Lineage: Eukaryota; Metazoa; Chordata; Mammalia; Artiodactyla; Suidae
Description: lncRNA (ENSSSCG00000060789.1)
Source: RNAcentral
CUUUCUGUAGAGAUGCUGUAAUGAAAGUAAUAAUCAAGGAACCAAUUUCAGGGGAGCACCUGGAGUGUUUCUGUUAAAACAUAGUCACAUCCUGUCAUUGCUCAAAACCAUCCAGUAGCUUCUCAACUCAGCGUGAAAACUGGUCUUUACCAUGGCCUGCGAGACCCUAGACUAGCUGGUCUUUGACCUCAGUUGCUGUUUCUAGCUCCCUCCCUUUCUUGCUCCAGCACCUUUGGGCCUCCCUGCUCUUCCCUAAAGACACCAGGACCUCUCUUGGCCUAGGACAUUUCCCCCCCAGGUAUCUUAUUCAUUCUCCUGCUCCCCAAUUCAUUAAUCAAACUUCUCAGCCAAGUCUUCUCUCUCUCCCCUGCAUAAAAUUAUUCUCUAUUCCCUUAUCUGCCACUCCAGUUAUCUUUUGCCAUGUAACAAAUGUAGUGAGUUAUCUAAAAUUAUCUCCCCCCAAAUUUAGUGAGUUAAAAUGUCAGCAGACAUUUUAUUCUCAUAGUUUCUGAAGAUCAGUAAUUCUGGAAACUCUCAGCUGAGAGGUUCUGGUUUCUGGUUGUCUUAUAUGGUUGCAGUCAGAUGGUGGCUAGAACUGGAGUGAAGCGAGGUUUAAGUAUCUGGGGCCAUCUGCAUCUCUCUGUUUCUUUCCAUAUAGUCUGGAGCCCCUCAUGCGGUCUCUUCAUGUGGGCUAGUUUGAGCAGCCUCAAAGUAUGGUGAUCUCAGAGCAGCGGGCUGUUUAUAUGGUAGCUGAGUCUUUGUAAAUUAGCUUUCUAGCAAGUAAGGUGGGAGCUGCAUUGUCUCACAGGAUCUAGCCUUGGAAUUCAUGUAACAUCACUGCCACAUAUUCUGUUGGUUGAAACUUCAAAAAACUCCAUUCAGUUUCAUGGGGAGGAAACAAAGAACCCAUUUCUAUAUUGGAGAAAUGUCAAAGUCACAUUGUAAUAAGAGCCUGUGGGGUAAGAGAUAAUGUUGCCAACACAUGUGAGCAGUUCAACUGGCCACACUUCCUUUCCUUUCUCCUUCUCACCUCACACGAGAUUUAAUUGACUUCUUUAUCUUCUGUGCUGCCUGUCUUCCUGCACUAAAAUGCCAGUCUGUUUUGCUCACUGCUCUAUUCCCAGAGCCAAGAAUGGAGCCUGGCACAUAGGUUUUAAUAAGUGCUUAUUAAAUGAAUGAAUGAAUGAAUGAAUGAUGUCGUCUGCUAGUCCUAACUAUAGGUCUCUAAAUUAGACAUUAGUAUAACCAUUUUUCAGAUGAGGGAGAUGAAGCUCAGGAAGGUUUGGUAACUUCUGCAGGAUCACACAGCUACAAAAGGGGAAAACCGGCAUUUAAAUAAUGUCUUGCUUUUUUCCACUAUUCCAGACUGGCCAUCAUAGCUGCAGCUAUUUGGAUUCCCUCCACCCUCUACCCCAACCCCUGCAGGAGACGCACACUGCUACAACCUGAUACCAAAAUUCAGUUUAUCCCCACUUGGUUGCACUCAAGCUGAGAGCAAAGCAAUUGUACUUUCAACCCCUUAGAGCAGAUUUUUCUGAAGCAUGUUUCAGGGAUAACCACCACAUUUUGCGUUCAAACCGUACAUCUGGUUUGCUGCAAAAAAGACAAUUAAAUGAAAGGUUAGGCAGCGUUUUAAAUGGCCAGUUCAAACUUUUGGCUUAUUUUUUGCCUUGCUGUCUUUAUAGGCAUUUUACCAGUAUCUAUCACUAUUUCCCUUAGGGAGCCCCCAGAUCCGUGAUAUUUCAAAUAAUAAAGCCUCUCCAUUGGCUCUUUAAAAGAUUCAUGGUAAAACGGACCAUUAACAUUCACAGUUCCUCAUUUACGAGGCCAGAUUGCACUUAUUUCCAUAUUCCUCACUGUUUCUUCAGCGAGGAUUUCACAUAAUAGUGUUUGAAGGCUAACGACUUCAAAGCAAAUUCUUUACCAUUUUUAUCUUGAAAAAUAUUCAACAUUUGUAUAAUUAAAGUUAAGUCUUCCUAGAGAAAAUGACAACUCAAAUAAUCGUAAAUGUACCUCCAAGAAAGAAGCUGUCAGAAUGACAUUCAGCUGCAUACUCACAUUCUCUGAGGCCUUUGCUUCUCCCCCUGAUUUCUUGUAAUCUUUGAAGGUUAUGUCAUGGGUGACUUGAGAUCACUUUUUAAAUUAUUAUGACCUCGUUUCAGUAUGAGCUCUGAGGGUGAGGGGUUCUGUCUUCCCUUGGUUCCAGAUUUUUGCUGUUGUGUGGUUACCAGGCAGUUCAAAGAAAAGCCAACCCCCCGCCCCCAAGUCUUUCUUGAUCCUAAUUGUCCCACUAGCUACCAUCCUAUUUCUCUUUUCCUUGGAACUAAAAGUUUUUUCGCAAGUUUGUGUGCACUCUGUCUCCAUUUUAUCUCCUAAAUUUUGUUCAUAUAAUUUUUGUUUUUACAAUGUUAUGUUUCAAGCAUACAGCAAAGUGAUUCAGUUAUGCAUGUUCAUAUAUCCCUUUUCAGAUUCUUUUCCCAUAUGUUGUUACAGAAUACUGAGUAGAGUUCCCCGUGUCAUCUCCUAAAUUAUAUAGCAAAGAUUUGCCAAUGACCUCCAACCGCACUGGCAAAUUUAAGGGGAUUUUCAAGUUCUCUGUUUAAUUGACUGUCCCCUGCCUACCUCUCCAGUUUUUGCUUCAUGCUUCUCACUCACUCUCCUCAACGCUCAAGCAUCCCUUCAUCCAGGAUGUCUUCAGAUUAAUUGGACAGUUAGUAUCGUAAUUCAUGCAUUCUUGUACGUGGGCUUGCUAAGAUACUGAUGGAGAAGAGGUAGAACCCAGACGUGGGUCAGCCCAGAGCUAGGGAAAUUAACCCGUCUCCAGGUAGGGGGAACCUGGCAGCUUAACACUUGGUAUUCAAAAGGGCUCAGAAAACUUGUGCUGGACCUGGGCCAAUACUAGUUCUUGGGGUCCAAUUUAGUCAGUGUUCAGUAGGGGUGUCCAGGCAAUACCUAUAUUCAUUCAGUGAAAAUGUACCAUGUGUCAGUUCUGUGUUAGGCAUUGUACUAGGCACAGGGGAUACUAAGAUAGGUAAACACAGUAGCUUUCCCUUAGUUGCUCACUAGGGAAGUAAAGAGACAGAAAAAUGCAUAGACAACUGCAAAAAAAAUAUGUAUACAUAGAAAAGUACAGUUCAGCAAUGGUGUUCAUCUCGCUGCCAUGGAGGUAAAUAUUAUUCACUUUUUUUAAUCAGUUGCUCAUUUGAGGGUUUCCUAUCAGAGUUAUUAGAUGUGAUAGUCAUUGCUUUUCACAGGUAAACACAUGAAUAAAUAAAUGCAUUGGUGUUUGUAUAAACAGUUAUGAAAAGCUGGUAGAAUCCCGGGAACUCUUAAAAUUUUGCCACAUUACUUCCUCUAAGACCGUUUACCUCGCACAUUUCUUUACCCACACAAACACAACUGUUUUCUUCACUAUUUAGUCUUUUUAAACCUCACAUCUUUCAAUCAUCUCUCUCUCUCUCUAUCUCUCUCUCUCAUUUUUGGAGGUGGGGGCACACAGGUGUGGCAUAGGAAGUUCCCAGGCUAGGGGUCCAAUCAGAGGUAUAGCUGCUGGCCACAGCCACAGCCACAGCAACACCAGAUCCGAGCCGCAUCUGUGAGCUACAUCAGUUUGCAGCAAUGCCAGAUCCUUAACCCACAGAGCAAGGCCAGGGAUUGAACCCGCAGCCUUGUGGAUACUAGUCGGUUUCAUUUCCUCUAAGCUACCGUGGGAAUUCCUCCAUCAUCUCUUAAUUAUUCAUUUCCAUUCAUUAACUCUCCUGUCCAGAAUAAGAUAAAAAUGGUAGGAUGUCUGACUAGGGAGAGUAGAUUUUUGAUAGGCAGAAUUCAGAAGUUGAAGGAAAUAGUUAAGAGAGAUAUGAUGAACAACAACAAAAAAAUAAUAAUUUUAUGGUAUAACAACUUCUAGCCAUAUAUUAUAAAAAAAUAUGGCAUCAAGAGACGUGUUUGAAAAAGAAAUGAAAACUGUAAUAAAAAACUUAGAAAAUAACAAGAACAGUCAAUUUAUGGGAUGUGGUCAAAGCUGUGCUUAUUGUCAAAUGCAUAAUCUUAAAUGCUUUUAUAAUUUAAAGCAUAGGUGUCAGGAUUAGUUAGACCUGGAUUCAAAUCCCAGUAAUGUCACCAAAUGACAAAUGACUUUGCCUCUCUCAGCCUUUUUCUCCAUGUGUAAGACAGAAUAAUAAUGGCUUGCACUUACAAAGUGUCAAGAAUAGUGUCUAAUAUGAAAUAGUACUUACCAAGUAGCUGCUGUUGAAGAGUUAUUUAAGCGUUAUGGUUUUAUACAAUUAUUAAGUAAAAUUUUGAAAACUAAAACAUGUAAACAUUCUUAAUGGCUCAAAAACCUUGCAGUGAUGUGUCAUACCAGUCUUCAUCCAAGAAAUUCAUCUUUGUUCAUUUAUUUUGACUUGAUAUGAGUGCUUCUGGCAGUUCUUAAGCCCUCACCAAUUUUAUAUCAUAAGAUGUGAUAAACAGAUUAUUUGCUAAAAUAAUAUUCUUGCUUCCUUUUUUGGGAAUUUCCUCCAUAGAAACAGUUUGUACACAGCAAUAUUAAGCAUCAGAUCUGAUUGGCAACAAUUUCAGAUGCUUCAAAAGGCUUUUAAGAUGAGAAGGGUCCAUUUGGGUUAUCUGGAUUCUGAAACUGAAACUGCUCUGUUCUGUUUUUCUGGCUUCUGGGAGAGGAGGAGAUAUGAAUUCAAUUAGCACCUUGGUGUUUUCUUUAUCCUUCAUUUCAAUACGAGAGAUGGUUCACAUGCAUGGUGGUAUCAGGUUACAUCAAAAGGGGGGAACAGUUUCUUGGUUUUUCAUUUUCUACCAAAAAGGAAAGACACCCAUUUUGUUCUGCUCUAAUUAGUAUGAGAGCCAGUGCAUGACUUUUUGAGAACAGGCAGAUGCUUUGAAGGCGGUAUAACACAGGUCUUCAUUAAUCUCCAUGCAGGAUUUCUGGUUUAAACUGUCGAGGCCUAAGGUAAUGGCUCAGGAAGAGGACCGAGCACAGAGCUCUAACCAACCCAAGCCAGGUUUUAUAAAGAACAAGUCAAGGUGGUGAGAAAAUGCAUUCUCAUUAUCUCCCACUUCCUUAUACAUCAGAAAGACAAAAUUGGUUAUUUUAAUUGCAAUUUAGAAAUUUUUUAAAAAUUAUUUUAAAGUCAGUAACAAGCUUAAUUAUAAAGAUAUUCCUGGAGUUCCUACUGUGGUGCAGCAGAAACCAAUCUGGCUAGUGUCAGUGAGGAGGCAGGUUCGAUCCCUGGCCUCGCUCAGUGGGUUAGGGGUCUAGCAUUGCCGUGAGCUGUGGUGUAGGUCACAGACGCAGCUCCGAUCCCAUGUUGCUGUGGCUGUGGUGUAGGCCAGAAGCUCCAGCUCCA